Teleopsis dalmanni is the source of this 4234-nucleotide RNA transcript. It is a transcript of the gene named nuclear hormone receptor FTZ-F1 beta, with no coding region annotated. The record is from RefSeq and is a predicted model, not a curated record. NCBI's taxonomy places the organism in Eukaryota, Metazoa, Arthropoda, Insecta, Diptera, Diopsidae.
UGUACUAAUUGGUGACUAAAAUAAUUAUAAUGGAAGUUGCAAUAUACAAAAAAAAAAUUAAGGAUCAAUAAGAAAUAUUGGGAUUGGGAAUAUUGCGAGUAUAGCACUACUAGUAAUUAAUAUAUUUUUAACAACAUCAAAGUCACAUGCAACAUCAAACUUUACUCAACCAUGACCCUUCAUCAGCGCCAUCUAUCGAAUUUUUAUAAAUUGCAAUAAUCAAAUGUAAACACAAAAGACUUGAUCCAGGAGUUAACAUGUCAGACACAUGUUAAGCCUAGACGAAAAAGGAAAUAAUUUUUUUAUCAAAUUUGUUAAAAUGUCGGCAAUUAAAUCCGAAAAAUCAGCAGUAUCGGCAGCUCCCAAUGCAAAGACUUCCGCUACUCAUUUUUGUAAUGUCAUACCUGGUACUGGCUAUCAUUUACCCUUAAACAUGAGCAGUCAUUCUACAUCAACGUCGCUUACAACAACUACGAUACGAAAUAAUGUGUCGGUGACAAAUAUAAAAUGUGAAGUGGAUGAUGCAAGCACGCCGAAUGGCAAUGUUGUACCUGUUAUUGCUACAGUUGCGCCUAACAUGACCUAUUAUAAUAACUCAGCAGGUGGCGUAGGUAUACGCAUACCAGUUACGAAAACUGAAGAUUCCGAUUCCGAAGCGGAGUUAACCAAUAUUGAGAAUCAGAAAGUUACUCGUAGAACAAGUGCAGGCAAUGUCAGUGUUAGCAGCGCGACUGCAAUAAAUAAAAAUGGACCACGGCCAAUGUCGUGGGAGGGAGAACUUUCGGAGACAGAAACAACUGAAACAGAGGUAAUGGAUACUGAAAACUCAACGAGUAUAAGUUUGCGCACAAGUACUAGCACUGCGAGUGGUUGUGGUAGUGGCAUUUCUGUUAUUAAAAGUGAAGCAACAACUACUACGCAUACUCCAGGUCAGCAACAUACACCACAUCAACAACCGCGCACACGACCAUCAACGAUCAAACCAGAAUUGGAGCAAAUUUGUGUUGAUAUACAUAAUUCAUCUAUUUAUUCGCACCACACGAAGCUGAAGUUAGCACCUACGCAAAGUGAUCCCAUCAAUCUAAAAUAUGAACCUGAGGCGAGUAUGAAUUCGCCAUUGCUAGCUCGUAACAAAUCGACAAAUUUACCACUUCCAGCAAAUCCGAGUCCUGAUUCCGCCAUACAUUCCGUUUACACGCACAGUUCGCCAUCACAAUCUCCGCUUACAUCACGACAUGCACCGUAUACACCCUCGUUGAGUCGCAAUAACAGUGAUGCAUCUCAUAGUUCAUGUUACUCGUAUAGUUCCGAGUUCAGUCCCACCCAUUCACCUAUACAAGGUCGUCAUGCGACUCCAUCAUCGACUAUGUAUCCUAAUUUUAAUGGCUCUUUGCAUCAUUCCGUUUUGUACCGUCCUAUAUCCGUAGAAAAUGGUAGUAAUGCUACCGUGUCUGAAGUACAAAAUCUUUCCAUGGACGCACAAGUGCCACCUCUAAGUGUCGGCACCACAGACAGUACUUUACCAUCAUCAGCUGCAGGUAUUUCCAGACAGCAGCUGAUAAAUUCACCGUGUCCUAUUUGUGGGGAUAAAAUUUCUGGUUUUCAUUACGGCAUUUUUUCGUGUGAGAGCUGUAAAGGCUUUUUCAAGCGGACAGUACAAAACCGUAAAAACUAUGUUUGUGUGCGAGGUGGACCUUGUCCGGUGAGUAUAUCAACACGCAAAAAGUGUCCAGCUUGCCGUUUUGAAAAGUGUUUACAGAGAGGUAUGAAACUGGAGGCUAUACGAGAAGAUCGCACUCGUGGCGGUCGAUCUACUUAUCAAUGCUCAUACACACUACCCAGUUCAAUGCUCAGUCCUUUACUUAAUACUGAUCAGCAAGUUCAAAGCAUAUCAACAGCAACAACAACAAAUCAACAAUAUCAGCAGCGUUUGAGCGGUACGAAUACAAUCUCUAACAUGGGAGUAACGCAUUCCGCAUCAAACGGCUGUGUAUCCAACAGUGGGCAAACUUUCAAAACAGAACAGAGCGAUUGCUUAAAUGUCAGCAGCGACAAUGCACUCAAUGGCAGUAGUAAUGCGGCAACUACUACGCGUGCAACCAAUAUACCAGUUCUGUUGCAAGAAAUUAUGGAUGUAGAACAUCUUUGGCAAUUCAAUGAGGGUGAACUAACACGUGUAAAUCAACCGCUGUCAUCAUCGUCUUCGUCUCAUGCAACAACAUCCUCCACUAACCCAACCGGAACCAAUCAGGUGACUAAUCCACUGCUGGCCAGUGCAGGUUUUGGGAAUGGUGAGAACACCAAUCCAGAUUUGAUAGCGCAUCUGUGUAAUGUGGCUGAUCAUCGGCUCUACAAAAUUGUCAAAUGGUGUAAAAGUUUGCCACUUUUUAAAAAUAUUUCGAUUGACGACCAGAUAUGUCUGCUUAUUAAUUCGUGGUGUGAGCUUUUACUGUUUUCAUGCUGCUUUCGUUCGAUAGACACACCGGGCGAAAUAAAAAUGUCGCAAGGCAAAAAAAUAACGCUCACCCAAGCAAAAUCAAGUGGUCUGCAGGCCUGCAUUGAGCGAAUGCUUAACCUAACUGACCAUUUAAGACGCUUACGUGUUGAUCGUUAUGAGUAUGUAGCGAUGAAAGUGAUAGUUUUGCUACAAUCCGAUACAUCCGAAUUACUAGAACCAGUAAAAGUACGUGAAUGUCAGGAGAAAGCAUUACAGAGUUUACAAGCAUAUACGCUUGCCCAUUAUCCAGAAACGCCGUCCAAAUUUGGCGAGUUACUGUUGCGCAUACCUGAUUUGCAACGGACGUGUCAACUUGGCAAGGAGAUGUUGACUAUAAAAUCUCGUGACGGCGGCGAUUUCAAUUUGUUAGUGGAGCUGUUACGUGGGGAACAUUGACAAAUGCUACUUCAAUCAACAAAAUUUUUAUCAAAUAAAAUUUAUCUUAUAGCUUUGAACUGCAACAGAAGCUAUACUUCAGAAACAGUAGCAAUGCGAUGAAAAAUACGAUAGUUCUCUCAUUUUCAAUAAACGAAAAUGCAAAAGCUAUAAUUUAAUAUAUAAGGAAAUUCAUUAUAUGUUAUAAAAUGAAUUCGAAAGGAGCAGUGAAGGAAGGAAUAGAAAACAUGUGCCUAAAUCGUGAAACUGAUAGAAUUCCAUUUAAAACGUAUAAAUUAUCUUAUUAUAUUUGAGAAUCCAACUACUCGACUAGAUGAGUUUACUGCUACACUUAAUUGUGGAUAUUUAAAUCCAUGGACUGUGUAAAAAUAUUUCAAUGCAUCGAUUUCUUAUUAAAGUAAUGACAGUUCUAUACAGUCGUAUACGAUGACUCAAAUAGAAAGCUCGCGAUUAAAGGGUGGAGAUCUUUCACAUUACAAUUCAAAUGUUGAAGAAAAUUGUUUUACUAAUGUUUAUGCAAUCGCAGUAGAAUCUAAUGAUAUAAACAAUAUAAGCUAAUGAUAUAAACAGAGUGAUGUAUAUAUACUCUCUUGAGUCUACAAAACUUAUAUUGAGAGUGAAACUAUCAAUAGAUCGUAGUAUAAACAUUGAUAAAAAAACGAAAUCAGCUGAACUGUAGCAUGUGUACCAAAACCAUGAAUGAAUAUGAAUAACUAGUGAUAUAAACAGUGAUUGAUAGAGAUGUAAACAUGGUAGUAGAAUCUGCAGACUGUAUGCUGGACGCGAAACUAUCAAUAGCUAACUUAAACGAGCCUGUAGAAUAUGCACCGAAAGCAAAAUUAUGCAAAGCUUCUAGUAUUUACAGUAAUACUAAUGCUAUUUUGAUGGAGUAUAUUACGAUAUUUGAAGCAAAUCUAUCAAGGGCUACUAGAAGGCUGUAAUGAAGAUAGAGGUAAUAAAAAAGCAGAAGCAGGUUCGCUCAAUGUAAAGGACUUUUAUAUAAAUAAAUAAACCGAUGCAAAAUUUUCAGUAGUACACCAGUUUGGUAUAAAUACUGAUCUUAUAAUAUUCUAUGGCCACAAAUACAAUCCAAUUAAGAAAACAACACUUAUGUCAAUAAGAAAUUUAAAAGAGAAUCGAAACACUUAAAUCAACACAGAAAUCUAGCCAAAGUGCAACUAGAUCGAAGAUUAAUAAGUGUGCAUUAUAACAGUUAAAAAAAAACAAUAAUAUAUGCAUAUAUAUGUAUUAUAAACACAAACUUCUAUAUGGCAUUUCGCAAAAAUGUAUUAUCUUAUAUAUAUAAUUUAAUUUUAGAAUUAACACUCUGUCAUAUCUUUA